RNAcentral lists this unclassified non-coding RNA (476 nucleotides) under Hevea brasiliensis (rubber tree). Lineage: Eukaryota; Viridiplantae; Streptophyta; Magnoliopsida; Malpighiales; Euphorbiaceae. The record is from RNAcentral.
CAUGAAGAGAUGCAACUCUUCUUACUAGUAUAUAUAUGAAAUGAUACAACUAUUAGCCAAAAGGCACUAUGACUUUAUAAAUAGUUAAGCUUUUGUUUCAUUAGAUACAUAAGAAUAUUAACAAGAAAAUUACAUACAAAAGUAUAAAGUGUGUGUACUGAGUGGUGGUGCAUUGAUUUUUCCUUGUCAUUUUUAAAAGACUCUCGCUUGAUUUAUUUGUGGAGCAUUGAUUAUUCUGCGAAUAAGGUACACAUAAAUUGCAAGCUGAAGUUGAAAAAUCAGUGGAUUUAGGGAGAUAUCAGAGGUUGGUUGACAUAUUAAUUUAUCUUUUGCACAUUAGACCAAACGUAGUAUAUGCAUGAUCCUCGUGAAUCUCAUUUGGAGGCUAUUUUCCACAUUUUGCGGUACUUAAAAUCUACACUUGGGAAAUGACUUCUUUUCUCAAAACAUGAUCACCUUCAGAUUAAAGCCUUUAC